GACGAACGCUGGCGGCGUGCUUAACACAUGCAAGUCGAACGGAAAGGCCCUGCUUUUGUGGGGUGCUCGAGUGGCGAACGGGUGAGUAACACGUGAGUAACCUGCCCUUGACUUUGCGAUAACUUCAGGAAACUGGGGCUAAUACCGGAUAGGAGCUCCAGCUGCAUGGUGGGGGUUGGAAAGUUUCGGCGGUUGGGGAUGGACUCGCGGCUUAUCAGCUUGUUGGUGGGGUAGUGGCUUACCAAGGCUUUGACGGGUAGCCGGCCUGAGAGGGUGACCGGCCACAUUGGGACUGAGAUACGGCCCAGACUCCUACGGGAGGCAGCAGUGGGGAAUAUUGCACAAUGGGCGGAAGCCUGAUGCAGCAACGCCGCGUGCGGGAUGACGGCCUUCGGGUUGUAAACCGCUUUCGCCUGUGACGAAGCGUGAGUGACGGUAAUGGGUAAAGAAGCACCGGCUAACUACGUG
Molecule: ribosomal RNA, 468 nt
Filed under: uncultured bacterium
Lineage: Bacteria
Description: partial 16S ribosomal RNA
Rfam family: Bacterial small subunit ribosomal RNA
Source: RNAcentral